GACGAACGCUGGUGGCGUGCUUAACACAUGCAAGUCGAACGGGAUUUAGUAAACAGAAGCCUCGGUGGAAGAUUACUAAUGAGAGUGGCGAACGGGUGAGUAACGCGUGAGCAACCUGCCUAUGACAGUGGGAUAGCCUCGGGAAACCGGGAUUAAUACCGCAUAAAAUCGUAGAAACACAUGUUUUAACGGACAAAGAUUUAUCGGUCAUAGAUGGGCUCGCGUCUGAUUAGCUAGUUGGUGAGAUAACAGCCCACCAAGGCGACGAUCAGUAGCCGGUCUGAGAGGAUGAACGGCCACAUUGGAACUGAGACACGGUCCAAACUCCUACGGGAGGCAGCAGUGGGGAAUAUUGCACAAUGGGGGAAACCCUGAUGCAGCGACGCCGCGUGAACGAAGAAGGUAUUCGUAUCGUAAAGUUCUGUCCUAUGGGAAGAUAAUGACAGUACCAUAGAAGAAAGCUCCGGCUAAAUACGUG
RNAcentral lists this ribosomal RNA (478 nucleotides) under uncultured bacterium. RNAcentral's name for it is "partial 16S ribosomal RNA". It matches the Rfam family "Bacterial small subunit ribosomal RNA", at positions 28 to 507 of the family's 1533-position model. The record is from RNAcentral.